This 537-nucleotide ribosomal RNA is filed under the name Nocardiopsis sp. RNAcentral's name for it is "bacterial SSU rRNA". It matches the Rfam family "Bacterial small subunit ribosomal RNA", at positions 105 to 643 of the family's 1533-position model. The record is from RNAcentral. Lineage: Bacteria; Bacillati; Actinomycetota; Actinomycetes; Streptosporangiales; Nocardiopsidaceae.
GGUGAGUAACACGUGAGCAACCUGCCCCUGACUCUGGGAUAAGCGGUGGAAACGCCGUCUAAUACCGGAUACGACCUGCCACCUCAUGGUGGAGGGUGGAAAGUUUUUCGGUCAGGGAUGGGCUCGCGGCCUAUCAGCUUGUUGGUGGGGUAACGGCCUACCAAGGCGAUUACGGGUAGCCGGCCUGAGAGGGCGACCGGCCACACUGGGACUGAGACACGGCCCAGACUCCUGCGGGAGGCAGCAGUGGGGAAUAUUGCGCAAUGGGCGAAAGCCUGACGCAGCGACGCCGCGUGGGGGAUGACGGCCUUCGGGUUGUAAACCUCUUUUACCACCAACGCAGGCUCGAAGUUUUCUUCGGGUUGACGGUAGGUGGGGAAUAAGGACCGGCUAACUACGUGCCAGCAGCCGCGGUAAUACGUAGGGUCCGAGCGUUGUCCGGAAUUAUUGGGCGUAAAGAGCUCGUAGGCGGCGUGUCGCGUCUGCUGUGAAAGACCGGGGCUUAACUCCGGUUCUGCAGUGGAUACGGGCAUGCUA